RNAcentral lists this long non-coding RNA (1150 nucleotides) under Phascolarctos cinereus (koala). RNAcentral describes it as "lncRNA (ENSPCIG00000002994.2)". The record is from RNAcentral. Lineage: Eukaryota; Metazoa; Chordata; Mammalia; Diprotodontia; Phascolarctidae.
GGCCUCUUGUGGUCACAAGGGUGCAUGUCAACAUAUUUGCCUCCCUCUCCAGGUCUGUCUUGCUCCACCCAAGUAUUCUUUUCAUCCAAGCCCUGAAAUGAGAGAACUUCCUGGAACUGUGUAGUCAUAUGUUGCUUCUAUGGGGAGGCCAUGGGACCCCUCAGCUGAUCUUCCAGUCAAGAGAGAGCUCUCUGAUUCUGAAGUCAAUCUCGAUACUCCCCCUGUUCAUCUCCCUUUUGCCCAAUAGUUCUGUUUUUCUGGGAAAGCUCGUAUUGAGGCUGAAAUCCAUCAACUGACAGAAAAGGGAGAGCUUCAGAGGAAUCCUGAUUGAGAUAUGUAGUAUAGGAGUGAUUAGUGUGGACCCUGUUUCUCUCGCCUGCUGGCACCGAAAGAAAACCAGAAAACCCUGGUGACUGGGAAGCUGCUUUGACCCUGGAAAUACUUAAGAUGUCAUUUCAGCACCAAGAUCAGCACCCUUCCCAGCCGUUGCUUCAGCUUUCACCAGAAUGAAGUCUCUGAUUUCCCAAGUGGCCAAUGGAGGAAUGACUAAUGGCAUCCUUACUGUUUUGAAGAAAGGAAUCUCAUUCCUAGGAGAGGCCACGAGUAUUAGAAACAGCAGCUGUAUUUCUACACUAGGCAAAUAAGUGAAAUAGAGGAAGCUUGUUAUCUCCCCUUCCAGGCAUUCUUCUUUUUCUAUGUCCAUGCCUUCACUCAACAGCAAACAUUUGGGAAGAUAUUGUAUUAGUUAGGCCCUGAGGGAAGAUAUGAAGAUGAAUAGAUAUCAUACCUGUCUUCAUCAGGCUUUUAAUCUAGCAAGAUAAAUAAGAAAUGCAGACAAGUACCUGCAAUCAAGGGCAGCAUAGGAUGAAUAUUAUGUGUUAGGGCCUUACUUCCAUCAGAUGUCAUGGAUAGUGCCCUGCAUUGGAUGCCCAAAGACCUGGGCUCAAGUCCUCAUUCUGCCAUGCAUUAUCCAAGUGAUCUUGCAGAAGUGACAUGAUUUCUCUGAGCUUCAGUUUCUCAUCCAUAAAAUGGGAAUAAUAAUAUAUAAAUAGCCUUCCUCAAAAGAAAUGAGACUCAAGAUAAUAAUAUAUAAUAUGUUUUAAUUAUAAAGUGCCAUACAAAUUGAGCUAUUAAUAUGAACAAUUGAAAA